Molecule: ribosomal RNA, 582 nt
Filed under: uncultured marine eukaryote
Lineage: Eukaryota
Description: SSU rRNA
Rfam family: Eukaryotic small subunit ribosomal RNA
Source: RNAcentral
UACCUGGUUGAUCCUGCCAGUAGUCAUAUGCUUGUCUCAAAGAUUAAGCCAUGCAUGUCUAAGUAUAAGUUUUUUACUGCGAAACUGUGAAUGGCUCAUUAUAACAGUUAUUAUUUCCUAGCCGGUCAGUUAUUCCUUGGAUACCCAUGGUAAUUCUAGAGCUAAUACAUGCUUACAGACCCAACUUCACGGAAGGGUUGCGCUUAUUAGAUACCGAACCAACCCCGCAAGGGAUUUAGUUGAUUCAUAGUGUUCUGGCGAAUCGACUUCUAGUCGAUGAGGCUAUCAAGUUUCUGACCUAUCAGCUUCCGACGGUAGGGUAUUGGCCUACCGUGGCUUUGACGGGUAACGGAGAAUUAGGGUUCGAUUCCGGAGAGGGAGCCUGAGAAACGGCUACCACAUCUAAGGAAGGCAGCAGGCGCGUAAAUUACCCAAUCCUGACACAGGGAGGUAGUGACAAGAAAUAUCAAUAUAAGACUUUUGUGUCUUGUAAUUGGGAUGAGCGGAACUUAAAUCGCUUCUCGAGUAUCAAUUGGAGGGCAAGUCUGGUGCCAGCAGCCGCGGUAUUCCAGCUCCAAUAGC